AGUGAACGCUGGCGGUAGGCCUAACACAUGCAAGUCGAACGGCAGCACAGUAAGAGCUUGCUCUUACGGGUGGCGAGUGGCGGACGGGUGAGGAAUACAUCGGAAUCUACUUUUUCGUGGGGGAUAACGUAGGGAGACUUACGCUAAUACCGCAUACGACCUACGGGUGAAAGCAGGGGAUCUUCGGACCUUGCGCGAUUGAAUGGGCCGAUGUCGGAUUAGCUAGUUGGCGGGGUAAAGGCCCACCAAGGCGACGAUCCGUAGCUGGUCUGAAAGGAUGAUCAGCCACACUGGAACUGAGACACGGUCCAGACUCCUACGGGAGGCAGCAGUGGGGAAUAUUGGACAAUGGGCGCAAGCCUGAUCCAGCCAUACCGCGUGGGUGAAGAAGGCCUUCGGGUUGUAAAGCCCUUUUGUUGGGAAAGAAAAGCAGCAGGUUAAUACCCCGCUGUUCUGACGGUACCCAAAGAAUAAGCACCGGCUAACUUCGUG
This 492-nucleotide ribosomal RNA is filed under the name uncultured bacterium. RNAcentral's name for it is "partial 16S ribosomal RNA". It matches the Rfam family "Bacterial small subunit ribosomal RNA", at positions 29 to 507 of the family's 1533-position model. The record is from RNAcentral.